AGUGAACGCUGGCGGUAGGCCUAACACAUGCAAGUCGAACGGCAGCACAGUAAGAGCUUGCUCUUACGGGUGGCGAGUGGCGGACGGGUGAGGAAUACAUCGGAAUCUACUUUUUCGUGGGGAUAACGUAGGGAAACUUACGCUAAUACCGCAUACGACCUACGGGUGAAAGCAGGGGAUCUUCGGACCUUGCGCGGUUGAAUGAGCCGAUGUCGGAUUAGCUAGUUGGCGGGGUAAAGGCCCACCAGGGCGACGAUCCGUAGCUGGUCUGAGAGGAUGAUCAGCCACACUGGAAGUGAGACGCGGUCCAGACUCCGACGGGAGGCAGCAGUGGGGAAUAUUGGACAAUGGGCGCAAGCCUGAUCCAGCCAUACCGCGUGGGUGAAGAAGGCCUUCGGGUUGUAAAGCCCUUUUGUUGGGAAAGAAAAGCAGCAGGUGAAUACCCCGCUGUUCUGACGGUACCCAAAGAAUAAGCACCGGCUAACUUCGUG
Molecule: ribosomal RNA, 491 nt
Filed under: uncultured bacterium
Lineage: Bacteria
Description: partial 16S ribosomal RNA
Rfam family: Bacterial small subunit ribosomal RNA
Source: RNAcentral